GCCUGUGUGGCUCAGUCGGUUGAGCAUCUGACUUCGGCUCAGGUCAUGAUCUCACAGUUCGUGAGUUCGAGCCCCAUGUCAGGCU
Molecule: transfer RNA, 85 nt
Filed under: Felis catus (domestic cat)
Lineage: Eukaryota; Metazoa; Chordata; Mammalia; Carnivora; Felidae
Rfam family: tRNA
About the family: Transfer RNA (tRNA) molecules are approximately 80 nucleotides in length.
Source: Rfam by way of RNAcentral